This 337-nucleotide ribosomal RNA is filed under the name uncultured bacterium. RNAcentral describes it as "partial 16S ribosomal RNA". It matches the Rfam family "Bacterial small subunit ribosomal RNA", at positions 338 to 689 of the family's 1533-position model. The record is from RNAcentral.
CCUACGGGUGGCAGCAGUGGGGAAUAUUGCACAAUGGGCGAAAGCCUGAUGCAGCAACGCCGCGUGAAGGAAGAAGGGUUUCGGCGCGUAAACUUCUAGCAACAGGGACGAAAGAAAUGACGGUAACUGAAUAAGAAGCCCCGGCUAACUACGGGCCAGCAGCCGCGGGAAUACGUAGGGGGCAAGCGUUAUACGGAAUUACUGGGUGUAAAGGGUGAGGAGGCGGCCUGGGAAGCCAGAUGGGAAAGCCUUGGGCUUAACCCGAGGAUUUCAUUGGGAACUAUCAAGCUAGAGUACAGGAGCGGCAAGCGGAAUUCCUCGUGUCGCGGUUACAUGC